This 845-nucleotide long non-coding RNA is filed under the name Saimiri boliviensis boliviensis (Bolivian squirrel monkey). RNAcentral's name for it is "lncRNA (ENSSBOG00000036620.1)". The record is from RNAcentral. Lineage: Eukaryota; Metazoa; Chordata; Mammalia; Primates; Cebidae.
UCACGGCCUCCCUGCUGUGCAGCUGGAGGAGGUCGGACCGCUAAGUCCAAUCCGGAAGUCGUAGGGAAGUGGGGAGGUCAGGACGGUGGCGCCCGCGGCUGGGGGUCCUCCUUGGGGCGGUGUGCGCGCGGCUUUCUCUUCCACCGUCCUGGACCUGCUCUGACUCCCGGCCCGAGGCUCCCCGCGUGGCCUCGCGUCUGGUCGCCGGCCCCUUGCAGCCAGCUCCGCCCAGCAUGGACCCGGAUCCGGGGCGCCUUAGUGGCGAUCUGCCAGGAGGGCCGUAAGAACACUGGGGGGAUGAUUGUUACUGGACAAACCGCCUAUGGCGGGACCUGAAGCCUCCCCGCCACCUCGGGAACGGAUAGGAGCAGAGGCUGGCGCCGCCGGUGCAGUGGGCAUCACAGCAGCCAAAGAAUUUAGAGCAAGUCCACGUGGACAUGCAGGUCUCCACGAGCGUGGAUUUCCUGCGAGGCCGAUCGCGAAGAAGUGCUGGCCCAGAGGCUCGGGUGUCUCCCCCGGCACGCGGCCGGCUGAGAAGGCCGCGGCGCUCGCCAGGAGCGGGGACGUCCUCGGUGUCGCGGGGACCGAAGGAGGCGGCGCAGGCCCGGAGACGUGCGCGCGGGCGGCGAGGGGGCGCUGUGGCCCGUGCCUGUCGGCCGGAGUCCCACCAACGAUGGGCGCGACCCACCUCCUCCCACGGCGGCUUAAUUAGGGAAACUAGAAAAAAAAAAAAAAAAAAAACGCGUCCAGGCAUUUCAAUAAAACCUAACCGGCUCCGGAUCCUUUCUCAUUGUGGUUCCUUAUGAGCUCUGGUGUUUGGGGGGAAAAACAGUUACCAUUCCGGG